Wyeomyia smithii (pitcher-plant mosquito) is the source of this 4110-nucleotide long non-coding RNA. RefSeq lists it as uncharacterized. The transcript has 3 exons. The record is from RefSeq and is a predicted model, not a curated record. Lineage: Eukaryota; Metazoa; Arthropoda; Insecta; Diptera; Culicidae.
GUCAAAAGUUGCGAAUCGCUGUACGUAUCGCUUUACGAAUCGCCGGCGCCGGUAGUUUUUUCUCGUUUUUCUGCUGUUUUGUAAAUUGUUUUUUUUUUUUAAUCGAAUAAGCCGAAGAAGAUUUGUUUUUUAGUGAACUGUUAAAUAAAAAACUUUUGUGCUACUCGAUUUGCUAAAAUGAAAAGGCAAUCGAAAGUUGUGAAUCGCCAUCGCCGCGGGUUGUUUUGGUUGUUUCGUGUGAAGCAAAUCGGAUAAAUUGGAUAAAGUUUCUUUUCUAGUGAAGUGUUGAAUGAUGAAAAAAUUUGAUGAAAUCGUUGCCGGAUAUUUGAAUCGUUUUGUUAGUGCUAUCAGCAAUAUCCUUUAAGCCAGUAAACUUAGUUGGAACGUCAUACUAGAUUAUUCCCCCACGAAAACGGCGAAUGUUUAUACGUUUAACCCAACAAGCAACAGCAGAACAAGCAAAGUUGUUGCAUCACUGAUUUACGAUGGCUUAUUAAAAUUUACAAGGCAGGUCUAAUAAGCAAAAAGACCUAUUUCAGUGAUCAGGAUGCAGGACCGUUGGCGACACCGAAAUUAUUACAAAAAGAUCCAGCACUGAUUGAAAUACCUCCAAGUACGUCGAUCACACCAAUAUCAACGUUUUAUGGGGACCAGUGCCGAAGGAGCUGAUUACAGCGGAAUGUACCGCUAAUUGUUACAAUUCUCAAAAAAUUGUGAGGAUAUUCCGGCUUGUUUGGUUUGCUGACGAAACCUGCCAUUCGUUUGUUGGGUGUUGACUGGUGGCGCAUUUCAGACAGACAGGGCUUUGAUUUUGAUAAGGAUACAAAAUAAUUACAGACGGUGAAAAACAGUAUGCCAUCAAACGUGCCACCCACCAUGCCAAUCACAGUAUGUUCAUAUUCAUAAAAGGACCACCACCCAUGAACGGCAUUGUCGAAGACAAUUUUUUAAAAUAACGACUUUAACGACUUGGUUACCAAUCAAAUUGAAAAUCGUGGAACAAUUUUGUCGAUAUCAGUGGUGGUGACGGCUUUGGUAGUGGUCGGCGCCACUAAAGCAACUGGAUGAACAAUUAUCGUUGAGGCCUCCGAAGUAGCCACUACCGGCCACUAUGGCUAUCAACCAUUAUUCUGCUUGUUAUAGAGCAUAUUUUUCAUAGAGCAUAAUAUAACAGCGCUUAGUAUAUAAGAUGAAAACUAUGCCAAAUGAGCUAACGUCGAAUAUCGACCAUUCUUGGUUUAAAUUAAACUUUACUCACGUUUGAAUAACUUAAAAAAGCUCAUGUGUCAUUUUUGACUAACAAAAUUCUUAAUGAAUACUCUUUUUCUAUUUACGAAGAUAAAAGUUGUUUUUCUUUUAAAUUUUAUUUUUGAGAAACUUAAAAUUAAUCCGUUAUGUACUACAGUCAUACCUCGAUAUAAGGCAACUUUAUUUUUAUUUUCGUGACGUUAUAUCGAAGCAAAACAUUUUUUUUUUUCGAUUUAUGCAAGAUUGUUAAUGGUUACUCAAAGAUGCGCGAAAUAUUUUCAGAAGCAAAAAAAAAAUUUUUUUUUCAAUUGAUACAAGAGGUCACAAAGAUGCGUGAAAACCUAUUUACCAUCACCUAUCAGUAUUUUCAAACCAUUCUCAUGCCCAUUCAGGAAAAUUUUCAACAAGCAAAAAAAAGUUUUUUUAAUUGAUGCAAGACUGUUGGUGGUUACUCACAGAUGCGCGAAAACCUAUUUUACAUCACCUAUCAGUAUUUUCAAACCUUUCUCAUGCCCAUUUAGAGAAAAUUAACAAGCAAACAAUUUUUUUUAAUUGAUGCAAGACUGAAUUGUUACUGAAGGAUGCGUGGAAACAUAUUUUCCAUCACCUAUUAGUAUUUUUAAACCUUCCUUAUGCCCAUUUUGGACAAUUUUCGCAUUGAUUUCAAAACAUACUACAAACAUUUUUUUUGAAGCAAUUUAUAGCCCAAAACAGUUGCUAUAUCAUUUAUUUUCAAUUUCAAUUUAAAAAGUUACGUUAUAUCGAGGUAAAAGUUACGUUAUAUCGAGUUACGUUAUAUCGAGGUUGCCUUAUAUCGAGGUAUGACUGUAGUAUUGUUGUAUUGUUCUAAUCAAGAAAAAAAGUGAAAAAACUUCUUCCCAAUUUUCCACAACCGAGUUUUUUACUGUUCGUUCUACCACACAGUAGGCCAAUGUGUGAAUAAAAAAAUAUGAUUUUAUUGAAAUUUUAAAAUAUUCAGGAUACACAUGAACAUUACGUUUUUUUACAAAUGAAUAGUGUUGGUUUGUGACUCUGCAUGAGAGUGGUGAGGUGAAACUUUCACCGCUUUAAAGGACGACUUCCCGAAAUCCGAUUGAGUUAAAACUGUGCAUGGGGAUUUCCUUCGAGACGACGAAACUUUCGAUUCCUACUGCUAAAGGAAUUUGAAGUUUGAUUGGCAUCCAGAGAUCACGUGUCACAAAUCGAGAUCACGAGAUCACGUAUCAAAUAACUGUUCGGUAGAACGAACGCGUCAUAACGCUUGUAGAAUAUUGAUAAAUGGUACAAAAAUACUGAAAUAUGUCAAAAUUAAUAGUUUAAAUUUGUUUCUUUCAGCUUCAUUUUUUUUUUCAUUUGUGUUUUUGAAUACAUUUGCACGAGACCUUUUUUAUCUUAUCUCAGUUAUUAGUAAUAAAGUUUUUAAAGUACUGUUCAAUAAAUCAAGCAACUGAUCCAUAAAUAAUGAAAACAAAAUUUUUUGACAAAAAAAUCAGAAUGGAGAAAUGAAAGAAGUUUUUUUGAGGGGAAUUUUGAGAUCUAUUUGUCGACUGUUACGGUUAGUUUUGUGGGAUUGUCAGCCAUUAGUCCGUGUAUAAAAAAAGUUAAGCUUUAGAUUCUUUUUCCAAUUUCAACAAUUUCGAGAAUAAUUUCAUUCAUGGUGUUAGGGAACAUCCAUAAAUGACGCAGCUUUUCUAGGUUUUUUUUACCCUCCCCCUUCCCCCACCGUAGCAUUUCGUCACAAAAUCAAGACCCUUCCUUUAGAUAAUCACGUAGCUUUAUAACAAAACACCCCACCCCAAGAUAUUUGCAAAUUUUAUCAUCAAACACACAUAAAUGAAUAAGAAAAGACAAGAAAGUAAUAAAACAUUACCCUAAACAGACAAAGUGAUAAAAAAGAACAAUUGAAAAAAAUUUUUUUUUUCUUGGUUUCGUAUUCGCUACGUAGCUUGGCUUAACCCCCCCCCCUUCCCCUCGUCACAUUUUAACACAAAACUACCAAUCCUCCCCUCCCCUUUGAAUGCUACGUCAUUCAUGAACGUUCCCUUAUAUGAUUUUAACGGUUAUUUUGAAACUAAAAAUUCUUAGUUAAUUUCCUGAAUACACACGUUUUCAAGUAUUCUUGAGUCUAAGUAUAGAAAAUUGGGAAAUAAACACUAAAUUAUAAAUUGGCACUUUCUUCAUUUUUUCACUGAUACCAAACCAAAACCAUAAAAAAAUAAUUGCACAAAAAUGUCCCAGUUUUAAUUUUUUCCAUUGUCAUUGUUGAUUUGGUUGAAAUUUUGCAUAGAUGUUUGUUUUUAUUUUUAAGGAUUGAUUUUUAGAGACAAAACGUUUCGUUUGAUCGGUUGACGGCAAAGUUGUGAAUGAUAAUUUUAGCUUUCUAAAAAAUAUACACCCAAAAAAAAAACUUUUUUAGCAGAAAAUAAGUUAAAUUAACUGUCAGGACCCGAAGGACAAAUGAUGAAAGGUCCAAAAUUUUAUUUUUUGAGGAAAACUACAGCAUGGAGUAAAUCAAGGAAAAGUUAAAAAAAUUAAAAGUGAAACCAAUAUUUAAGCCAGAACGAAUUAUUUGAUUGGUAUAAGGUCUUGAGCAAAGUUUUAGACAAUAAAUUUGUCCUUCUCGAAAAAAUAUCCACCGUAUAACAACAUAUUUUUUUAAGAACCAAAAAUAUAAUUAUAAAUUAAAUAGGGUAUCGCUAGUGGUUAUCUUCGGCAGGUUUUUGGCAGCAGUAGUUUCAUGCAAAAACCUAUCGAAGAAAACCACUACAGAAGACGUUCGAUACUCUAUCUAAAAAAUCGCUUUUAAGGAGUCUGAAUUUUUUCUACGAGAACUGCACACUGUAAGUUCACCAAUCAACCUAA